This 2017-nucleotide unclassified non-coding RNA is filed under the name uncultured fungus. Its description in RNAcentral is "sequence contains 18S rRNA gene, ITS1, 5.8S rRNA gene, ITS2, 28S rRNA gene". The stretch from base 962 to 2017 matches the Rfam family "Eukaryotic large subunit ribosomal RNA", at positions 1 to 961 of the family's 3401-position model. Lineage: Eukaryota; Fungi. The record is from RNAcentral.
GGUUGGAUCAUUAGAAAAAUGGUGGGCCAUGGGGCCUGAACAGAAAAAGUGUUUGCUGGAGAUGAGAUGAGCGGGGAAGGCAACCGUUGCUGUGGGGAACCAAAGUGGUCCGGGCAAAACUGCUGGCAAGUGGGCCGCAGAUCCUGUAAAAAUGGAGAUUGUGAAUGCAAAACCCUAGUGUUUGGCAUCAUGAUUGCGGCCACCUUCAGGCAAGUUUGCUUGGAAAACAAUUUGGCUUGGCACAGCAACUGUGCAGAACUCUUUUUUUCUCUCCAGCAUUUCCCUUUUUCUUUUUGGGUCUGUGAUUGGUCGGUCACCUUGCCACUUUGUGCAAUGUAUACGUUUUUGGCGGGCGAGUCUCAGACUCAGCAUCAGGGCAAUCCCAGGUGCGUUUGUACAAGUGCAGACAAUGCAUCUGUGCAGACACCCGUCGGUUGUGCGCAGCACUGGUGCUGCGCACAGCAGCAUGAACUCUUUGUGUUUUCCUUUUUUUGGUCUCAAACCUUUUGCAAAUGUAUUUGCAUGAAUGUAACAAACAACUUUUGGCAACGGAUCUCUUGGCUCUCGCAACGAUGAAGAACGCAGCGAAAUGCGAUAAGUAGUGUGAAUUGCAGAAUUCAGCGAAUCAUCGAAUCUUUGAACGCACAUUGCGCUCUCUGGUAUUCCGGAGAGCAUGCCUGUUUCAGAAUCGGCAACAUUUCCUCUUGUUCACAUGGGCAAUCUGCAAGGAUUGUCUUUGGGAGCAAGGACUUUGGAUGUUUUUCUGUAAAUAAAAUCAUCUUGAAUGAAUUUGUGGGUGUGCGGAUGUCCCGAGGUUCCUUAACUGGAACUGGCCCAAAAGUGCAACAAAAAGCCAUGCUCUUUAACAACCACUUUGGGCUUCAGGCAUCCAAACACGUGCAUGUUUUUUCACGGGGAGGGACCCAAAUCCAUCUGUUUUUUUGGGCUUUCCUCGGAAUCUCGAUCUGAAAUCAGGCAGGAAAACCCGCUGAACUUAAGCAUAUCAAUAAGCGGAGGAAAAGAAACUAACAAGGAUUCCCCUAGUAACGGCGAGUGAAGCGGGAUCAGCUCAAAUUUGAAAUCUCAGAGGGUUCCCUCUGCGAAUUGUAGUUUAGAGAAGCGUUUUCGGGGGCAGCUUGGGUACAAGUCCUUUGGAACGAGGCAUCAUAGAGGGUGAGAAUCCCGUUUAUGAUCCAACGUUUGCUCCUAUGUGAUACGCUUUCCAAGAGUCAGGUAGUUUGGGAUUGCUGCCUAAAAUGGGUGGUAAAUACCAUCUAAAGCUAAAUAUUGGCGAGAGACCGAUAGCGAACAAGUACCGUGAGGGAAAGAUGAAAAGAACUUUGAAAAGAGAGUUAAACAGUACGUGAAAUUGCCAAAAGGGAAACGCUUGAAACCAGCAUUGCUUGCAGACAAUCAUCUGUGCCUUCUGGCACGGUGCACUUGUCUGCAGGCAGGUCAACGUCAGUUUGGGCUGGAGUAAAAAGCUGGAGGAAGGUAGCUUUGGCUUGCCAAAGUGUUAUAGCCUUCGGCCAUGCUCCGGACUGGACUGAGGUCACCGAGGGUGUGGACGUUUGUUCGUUCUUGAGGUUCCCGGCUGCCUCCCGAAGCUUCUUUGCCAGACAGCAUGCUGACUGCGAGAAGUCACAGGGAGCCCGGUCGGCAGGACCUUUUCUCAUGCCCAGGUCGUUGACGUAAUGGUUUUAAACGACCCGUCUUGAAACACGGACCAAGGAGUCUAACAUAUAUGCAAGUAUUUGGGUGGCAAACCCUCAUGCGAAAUGAAAGUGAACUUUGGUGGGAUCUUCGGUGCACCAUCGGCCGGUCUGGAUUUUUAUUUUGAAAGAUCUGAGCAAGAGCAUAUCUGUUGGGACCCGAAAGAUGGUGAACUAUGCCUGAAUAGGGUGAAGCCAGAGGAAACUCUGGUGGAGGCUCGUAGCGAUUCUGACGUGCAAAUCGAUCGUCAAAUUUGGGUAUAGGGGCGAAAGACUAAUCGAACCAUCUAGUAGCUGGUUCCCUC